AUUAAUUCUCAAGAUUGUUAAACUGAACAUUGAUCCUUAAAGGGUUAGUUUACUAUGUAAAUGUGGAAGAACAUAGACUGGCUUUUUUUAUUUUAUUUUAAAAAUGAUUUUUUUUUAAAUAUUUUUAGGAAAGGUCUUUUGGUAGACUUGACAUAAAAUUACAUUUUGUUCGAGAGCUAUAAAAACUAGUCAGGGUAGUCUAACAACAUUAAGUGUAAUACUGAGCAGGUUAACUGUAAAUUCCCCCCAAUUUUUUUUUUUUGUGUGUAAUAAACACAAUAGUCUGAGCAAAAAUGUUUAAAGGGAUCCUAUAGUGCCAGGAAAAGAAAGCAGUGCUCAUUAGACCUCCCAAAGGAAAGCAUUAUUCAGUGCUUUCCUAUGGGGAAAAUCUGGCGCUGGAGGUCCGUAAGAACGUCCAGCAUCGGAUAACUGACCAAAAAUCUGUUUAGAUUCUGGAAGCUGUCUGUUGGCUACAAAGAUUAGACUUAGAGCUGCAAUGCUUAACAUUGCACUGCACAGUGCAAAAGUGUCACAGCCCCCAGACUACUGCAAUAAACCGAAGUGGUCUGGUUGCCUAGUGUCCCCUAAAAUGCUAUGCAUAACUUACACCUAUUUUUCACAGAAUAUGAUGUUGUGUAUCAAGUUUGAGCGCUCUACUCACCUUACUUUGUGUGGUUUAUCACCUAAACAAAGGGGUAGGCAGCCUUCUAGUUGUACUGUGCCAGAACUAGACUUUGAAGUCCCUUGGUGUGUCAAUCCUAUUUUAACUUUUUUUUUUUUUUGUUUGUCAUAUUCUGCUUGUUUAUGGGGGCUACAGUUGCUUUUACAGCAUUGUUUGUGGGCUGUUGUACAGUAUAUGUUCAUGAGUAGUCUGUGUACGUACAAAUUUGGGAUGUUUGUGUAACUGGAUAAUGUAACGUGUUGAGAUGGUUGUGUGCUUGUUUGUGUGUAUGUGGAUUAGUCAGUAGUGUUGAGGAAUGUAAGGAGGGGGGGGGGGAGGAUUCUUCUGAAAGUUAAAAGAUGGGGUUUGAGAGGAUGGGUAGGAAAAGUGCAUCCAAGACCCAAGUUGCAUCAAGUGCUAACAUUCCACAGUUCAAAUAUACUGUAAUGUUACAAAAGCAUGGAACAGUGUUAAAUAAGCCUGGGUUUCAGUAUCUUUAGCUAGGUUUAUUUUUAGGAAAAUAUUGGAUUGGACAAAUAAAACUGUGUAUGUGUGUCUCCAAAGGAAAAGGUUAACUGUGUGCUCUCCUUAAUCCCUAUAUAUAGUUAGACAAAUGGAGGACAUUUAGUUGUCUAAAUCUAGCCUCAGUGUAGGACCUGCUUGAGGGGAGGGGUCUGCCUUGACGUUGGCAGGUGGGCAUUCCCUCCAAUGGCCAUUGGAGUAACUAAAAGACCUACAUUUGUCUAUACAUAGGGUUUAAGGAGAGAGCACAGGUAUCUUCCCCCCCCCUCCCCCCUUUGGUUUUUAUACACAGGCCAGUUGCCUGGGGGUGGCCUGCAGAUAAGUUCGCGUCUAACAGGGACAGCUAAAUAUUUUCUGCCUUCUUUUGAGACACUGUAAAUGUGGCGAUGGACUUAUGUUUGUAGUUAGUAUGAAGUAUUGAUGUAUAAAGCAUGCACCCAGCAUUUUGUGAAGUGUGUGUGUGUAUAUAUAAACUCUUGUAAAACCUGCACUUCAGAAACCUCUGCAAGUCCUCACCUUUUUUUCCCCCUCCAGACUUUUUGUCGCUGUCCAAUGAGACUUCCCAAUGCAGCUCAAUAAAUUAGUCUUUGUGAGGCAGGUGCUCUGGACAAUUGCCUGCUUGUUGAGUUUAGUUCACUGAGCUAACAUAACCAGGAAGUAACUUGAUUGAUAAACAUGGUUACACCCACCUGGCUGUCUAUAAGUCAUUAUUUUUUAAAAUCUGCACUUUAUUAAAAAUGAG
Molecule: long non-coding RNA, 1925 nt
Filed under: Pelobates cultripes (western spadefoot toad)
Lineage: Eukaryota; Metazoa; Chordata; Amphibia; Anura; Pelobatidae
Source: RNAcentral